UCUCUGAAGUGCUGGGAUUAAAGUCAUGCCU
RNAcentral lists this non-coding RNA (31 nucleotides) under Mus musculus (house mouse). The record is from RNAcentral. Lineage: Eukaryota; Metazoa; Chordata; Mammalia; Rodentia; Muridae.